Long non-coding RNA from Dreissena polymorpha, 987 nucleotides. RefSeq lists it as uncharacterized. Lineage: Eukaryota; Metazoa; Mollusca; Bivalvia; Myida; Dreissenidae. The transcript is spliced from 6 exons. The record is from RefSeq and is a predicted model, not a curated record.
CCUAUACAAAACACAAUUUUGAAUAGGUUCAUUCAAUUUGUUGUGAAUGCUAUCGCUCAUUAAGGAAAGAGCUGCGGAUAUCAGCGACAAUGGACAUGUUUCGUGUUUCUGGAUCUAAUUUAAGCAAAGCGUUCGCUGUUCAACACGCUAUGCUGGUCUGCAUGUGCAUUUGGAUACAUGUAAACUGUACGAAAGAGAGAUGUGCGCUGGCAAAAUGCGAAGUUUUGCUCCUUCGACUUCAAAACAAAGCCACUUUGUUGUGUGUUAUAAGCGCUUUGUACAUUGUCGGCGCAGUGGCGUUCGCCAUCCAGUUUUAUAGAAGGCCAGAUUUAGAUGCACGGGCUCCGAGACGUCGUGUGGUUGCAUGGGUUGCUUCCUCCGCUUUCCCAGCUGUUAUUAUGUGGUUCAGCAUCAAUCAGAUAUGGAAAUUUUGCCCCUUUGCACUGCUGAUGCUUAUUCCAUAUGCUGUUUGUAUUUUCUUGCAGAUUCCUAUGUACUGGAACCUUUGGACGAAUUAAAUAGUUUGCCUUAUACAAGACUCUGCAGUAUGUUACAAAUUCAAACAUGCGAUUCUGAAACAACGCACUUCACUAUCUUUAAAGAAUUAUCAAAUACCGUUUUGCUUCAUUUGUUUUGUUUCAUAUUUUAUAUUGUUGUUUUCAAGUUCGAACACUACAUUUUAAUACUGCAGAUUGUUACAAUAUCUGGUUGUAAGCAUAUAUAUUAAUACACAUGUGUGUGUGUGUGUGCUUGCGUGCGUGUGUACGUUCGAGCGUAGGUGUGUGUUUGUUUGUUUUAUCUGUAUAUGUCCUUGCUAUGUUGUAACGUACACUAUUAUCGGAGAAGCAAUACAACAAUGCUUUACAUUAUAAGUAAUUAUUGUAAGACCGAAAAAAUGUGACAGCAUUAUAUUAAGUGUCGCCAUAACGAAGCCGUAAUGAUAAAAGUGUUAUAACCUUUUCCCUUUAUACUAAGCAAGUUAUUUAC